GUCUCUUUGUUACUUUUAUAUAUCGAGUCUAAUCUGCCCAGUGAACUAUUAAACGGCCGCAGUACCCUAACUGUGCAAAGGUAGCAUAAUCAUUUGUCCUAUAAUUGAGGAAUAGUAUGAACGAUUGAAUGAGAAUUAUACUGUCUCUAGAUAAUUAUUUAAAAUUUAUAUUUUAGGUGAAGGUACCUAAAUAACAUUAAGUGACGAGAAGACCCUGUCGAGCUUUAGGUAGUUAAUAAGACAUACAAAUUUACUUUUGAUUGGGGCAAUCUGGGAACAAUAAAAACUUCCUUAAUUUAUUUUUAAAUUUUGAUCCAAAGUGUUUGAUAGUAAGAUAAGUUACCGGAGGGAUAACAGCAUAAUUUUUCUUGAGAGUUCCCAUCGAAAGAAUAGUUUGUGACCUCGAUGUUGGACUAAGAUUUCCUAUGGGUGUAGCCG
RNAcentral lists this ribosomal RNA (438 nucleotides) under Hemiaclis sp. TT-2014. RNAcentral describes it as "partial 16S rRNA". It matches the Rfam family "Bacterial large subunit ribosomal RNA", at positions 1817 to 2561 of the family's 2925-position model. The record is from RNAcentral. Lineage: Eukaryota; Metazoa; Mollusca; Gastropoda; Littorinimorpha; Eulimidae.